This 585-nucleotide ribosomal RNA is filed under the name Umimayanthus chanpuru. RNAcentral describes it as "partial 16S ribosomal RNA". It matches the Rfam family "Bacterial large subunit ribosomal RNA", at positions 1858 to 2423 of the family's 2925-position model. The record is from RNAcentral. Lineage: Eukaryota; Metazoa; Cnidaria; Anthozoa; Zoantharia; Parazoanthidae.
CCUGCCCAAUGGUUGUAUCUAAAAGCGGUUGAUAAAAGUCGACCGCGUAAGGACAAUUGAAUGGCCGCGGUAACACUGACCGUGAUAAUGUAGCGUAAUCAAUAGCCAAUUAAUUGUUGGCCAGUAUGAAUGGCGCCCGAAGGCCCCACUGUCUUAAGGAAAUUCCCAGUGAAAUUGAAUUYGUAGUGAAGAUGCUACGUCCAAUUUGUUAGACGAAAAGACCCCGUUGAGCUUUACUGGGGCACUUACACGGCCCCGGCCUUCAAGACUGGGUUGAUAAGCCAAGGCUUACCAUACCUAGGGACCGGCCGAAUUUAAAUGGGCGGCUUAGACUAUGUGGCAGCCCCCCCCGUCGGGGCAGAUGAAACCCCACUCCCCCAUGUCAAAGGGGCUAACCCCCCCCCCCUUGGGGGGGGACAAUGUAAGUAGGACAGUUUGGUUGGGGCGACCGCCUUUUAGAGAGUAACGAAGGUGCGCUUAAGGUGCGUAAUUAAUGACUGAAGCCUGACUGCGAGGGGGACACCCCGAGCAGACACCCCCAAGCCCGCCCGAGAAGGCUUUGCCUUCUGGGCGGCGGUGGGGUGG